Culex quinquefasciatus (southern house mosquito) is the source of this 1299-nucleotide long non-coding RNA. RefSeq lists it as uncharacterized. The transcript is spliced from 3 exons. The record is from RefSeq and is a predicted model, not a curated record. Lineage: Eukaryota; Metazoa; Arthropoda; Insecta; Diptera; Culicidae.
UUUUUUUCAUUUUCUCGAGGCUUUACUGUUGUUAGUGAUGAUUUGAGAAGUAAUUCGCUGGAGACCGGAGACUUUGGUCAUUGAUGGUUAGUAGCAGACUUUCAACAUCGUCGCUGACACUGUGAUGUUGUCUGAUCUGGAAAGUGAGACGGAGCUGACUGUUAGCAAGGACCUAACUUGUUAGUGAGUUGACAGUUCAGUGAUGAACGUAUAUGACCCCGAAGAGAAACCCAAUCAUCAGUAGCACUUCUGUUUGGCCUACGAAAAUUUGUUUGGUCGUUUUUCACCGCCGUGUUAACGCCAAACAAAUUUUCGUACUUUUAGUGGGGAAUGAUGUAACGAGUACAUAUGGAUUAAAAGUACAGUCGGUAUGAUUGGGAAGUAAAAUACCUAAACUGUAUUAAACGUACACGCCGCAGAGUAGAGCUUUCUUACUGAGUGACCUUUGCUCAUUCCUUUGGUCACUCAAAUGCCGAGUACCUUUUGCGCCAGUUAUCCCAAAAGCUUUCCGUUCAACCAGAUGGCCGAGUGGUUUAAACUCUGCUCUUUAGGUGAGCCAGCACAGGAGAUCGGGGAGAGCCAGCCGCACGAAUCUCGCGAAGAGUUUCGCGUUUUCGCGGUUCGGGGGUGAUGAGAUCGUGGAGGUGAUAAAGCGGUCUAGGGGAAUGACAAGCUAUUGUCCAGGGUUGGUAACCGUGAGAGGGAACGGAAUUCGCAACUGAAGCCUCUCAUAAGUCUCGGCGUUCUGAUGACGCGCCCAACGGUUCACUUUUAUCAGUUCCGCGGAAGAGGCACCAGUGGCCCUCGAUUGUGCGCGUCUCGUGAUUAAAUUCUAGUUAGCGAGAUUAGUAGUUCGAACUAGUGCCGUGUCGUGUGCGUGUGUGAAAUUCUGCCGUGCAUGUGCGUUCCAGAAAUCCUGCUCUGCAUCCACCGCCACGCUCGUCACAGACGGCCCGAACUACCGGGGACCAGCUACCGCUUCGAACCGGCCGCAACGCCCACGCCGCCGAAGGCCAGCGCUCGCCAAACCGCGCUCGGCAGCGGAACUGUACGGCCACGCCGUAACAGGACAGCAGCAACCGUCACCGCAGCGUCCUUGAAUUAACCGCCAUCGCGAUCAGCAUCCGCCAUCGCGUUCGCCAACCGCCACCAACCUAACCUGGAAGGUUAGGAAACCACGUGAGUGAAGAGGGAGAGAAGUCCGGCCUCGAAGGCGGACACGCGAACCGGCAACCAACAACCAGCUAACCAGCGUUCUCGCCGAGCAGCAGCAGCAGAUCUUCAAAAGUAGGUCGUCGA